Molecule: small RNA, 914 nt
Filed under: Microascus pyramidus
Lineage: Eukaryota; Fungi; Ascomycota; Sordariomycetes; Microascales; Microascaceae
Description: eukaryotic LSU rRNA
Rfam family: Eukaryotic large subunit ribosomal RNA
Source: RNAcentral
ACCCGCUGAACUUAAGCAUAUCAAUAAGCGGAGGAAAAGAAACCAACAGGGAUUGCCCCAGUAACGGCGAGUGAAGCGGCAACAGCUCAAAUUUGAAAUCUGGCCCCCCGGGCCCGAGUUGUAAUUUGAAGAGGAUGCUUCUGGCAAGGUGCCGUCCGAGUUCCCUGGAACGGGACGCCGCAGAGGGUGAGAGCCCCGUACGGUCGGACGCCGAGCCUCUGUGAAGCUCCUUCGACGAGUCGAGUAGUUUGGGAAUGCUGCUCAAAAUGGGAGGUAAACCCCUUCUAAAGCUAAAUACCGGCCAGAGACCGAUAGCGCACAAGUAGAGUGAUCGAAAGAUGAAAAGCACUUUGAAAAGAGAGUUAAAAAGCACGUGAAAUUGUUGAAAGGGAAGCGCUUGCGACCAGACUCGCGCCCGUCGGAUCAGCCGUCGCUCGUCGGCGGUGCACUCCGGCGGGCUCGGGCCAGCAUCAGUUCGCCUCGGGGGGAGAAAGGCGGCGGGAAUGUGGCUCUACGGAGUGUUAUAGCCCGCCGCGUAAUACCCCCGGGCGGACUGAGGACCGCGCGUAUGCAAGGAUGCUGGCGUAAUGGUCGUCAGCGACCCGUCUUGAAACACGGACCAAGGAGUCGUCCUAAUAUGCGAGUGUACGGGUGUCAAACCCCUGCGCGUAAUGAAAGUGAACGGAGGUGAGAGCUUCGGCGCAUCAUCGACCGAUCCUGAUGUUCUCGGAUGGAUUUGAGUAAGAGCAUAUUGGGCCGGACCCGAAAGAAGGUGAACUAUGCCUGUGUAGGGUAAAGCCAGAGGAAACUCUGGUGGAGGCUCGCAGCGGUUCUGACGUGCAAAUCGAUCGUCAAACAUGGGCAUGGGGGCGAAAGACUAAUCGAACCUUCUAGUAGCUGGUUUCCGCCGAGUU